UACGUAGGGUGCAAGCGUUGUCCGGAAUUAUUGGGCGUAAAGAGCUCGUAGGCGGUUUGUCGCGUCGACUGUGAAAUCCCUCGGCUUAACCGGGGAACUGCAUCUGAUACUGGAUGGCUUGAGAUUGGGAGAGGGAUGCGGAAUUCCAGGUGUAGCGGUGAAAUGCGUAGAUAUCUGGAGGAACACCGGUGGCGAAGGCGGCAUCCUGGACCAACACUGACGCUGAGGAGCGAAAGCCAGGGGAGCAAACGGG
Molecule: ribosomal RNA, 253 nt
Filed under: uncultured bacterium
Lineage: Bacteria
Description: partial 16S ribosomal RNA
Rfam family: Bacterial small subunit ribosomal RNA
Source: RNAcentral